This 66-nucleotide transfer RNA is filed under the name Osmia excavata. RNAcentral describes it as "tRNA-Asn". Lineage: Eukaryota; Metazoa; Arthropoda; Insecta; Hymenoptera; Megachilidae. The record is from RNAcentral. RNAcentral also lists the same sequence under 2 other names.
UUAAUUGAAGCUAAAAUAGAAGCAAUUUAUUGUUAAUAAAUUUAUUGAAUUUAAAUUCCAAUUAAA